CGGCGUGCUUAACACAUGCAAGUCGAACGAAGAGCGAUGGAAGCUUGCUUCUAUCAAUCUUAGUGGCGAACGGGUGAGUAACGCGUAAUCAACCUGCCCUUCAGAGGGGGACAACAGUUGGAAACGACUGCUAAUACCGCAUACGAUCUAACCUCGGCAUCGAGGAUAGAUGAAAGGUGGCCUCUAUUUAUAAGCUAUCACUGAAGGAGGGGAUUGCGUCUGAUUAGCUAGUUGGAGGGGUAACGGCCCACCAAGGCGAUGAUCAGUAGCCGGUCUGAGAGGAUGAACGGCCACAUUGGGACUGAGACACGGCCCAGACUCCUACGGGAGGCAGCAGUGGGGAAUCUUCCGCAAUGGACGAAAGUCUGACGGAGCAACGCCGCGUGAGUGAUGACGGCCUUCGGGUUGUAAAGCUCUGUUAAUCGGGACGAAAGGCCUUCUUGCGAAUAGUUAGAAGGAUUGACGGUACCGGAAUAGAAAGCCACGGCUAACUACGUGCCAGCAGCCGCGGUAAUACGUAGGUGGCAAGCGUUGUCCGGAAUUAUUGGGCGUAAAGCGCGCGCAGGCGGAUUGGUCAGUCUGUCUUAAAAGUUCGGGGCUUAACCCCGUGAUGGGAUGGAAACUGCCAAUCUAGAGUAUCGGAGAGGAAAGUGGAAUUCCUAGUGUAGCGGUGAAAUGCGUAGAUAUUAGGAAGACAC
This 698-nucleotide ribosomal RNA is filed under the name uncultured Veillonella sp. RNAcentral's name for it is "bacterial SSU rRNA". It matches the Rfam family "Bacterial small subunit ribosomal RNA", at positions 40 to 709 of the family's 1533-position model. Lineage: Bacteria; Bacillati; Bacillota; Negativicutes; Veillonellales; Veillonellaceae. The record is from RNAcentral.